Molecule: ribosomal RNA, 254 nt
Filed under: uncultured bacterium
Lineage: Bacteria
Description: partial 16S ribosomal RNA
Rfam family: Bacterial small subunit ribosomal RNA
Source: RNAcentral
UACGUAGGAUGCAAGCGUUGUUCGGAAUUACUGGGCGUAAAGCGCGCGCAGGCGGUCUUCCAAGUCAGUGGUGAAAGCCCGGAGCUCAACUCCGGAACUGCCAUUGAAACUGUGAGACUGGAGUACGAGAGAGGUGAGUGGAAUUCCCAGUGUAGAGGUGAAAUUCGUAGAUAUUGGGAAGAACACCGGUGGCGAAGGCGGCUCACUGGCUCGUAACUGACGCUCAGGCGCGACAGCGUGGGGAUCGAAACAGG